UAUAGAGUUUACAACUCCUAAACCCACUGUGAAUCUAUCUGUGUUGCUGUUCCUUUGGCAGGCGGUUCCUGGGAGGAGCCUCGAGCCUAACGGCGCCUGCCAUUGGGGCUGAAAACUCUUGAGUUUAAUAGUUGUCUGAGCUUUUACAAAUAAGAAUCAAAACUUUCAACAACGGAUCUCUUGGUUCUGGCAUCGAUGAAGAACGCAGCGAAAUGCGAUAAGUAAUGUGAAUUGCAGAAUUCAGUGAAUCAUCGAAUCUUUGAACGCACCUUGCACCCUUUGGCAUUCCGAAGGGUAUGCUCGUUUGAGUGUCAUUGUACUCUCACACUCCCGAUCGUUUGGUUGGGAGCGGUGGACUUGGGUGUUGCUGCUUGACCGUGGCUCACCUUAAAUGCAGUAGUGCAACUCUCGGUUGGACAUAGUACGGCGUGAUAAGUGUCUUCGCCGGCACCUCCUCACAGAGGGUGGCCGAUCGGGAGCUCUGUGCUUCCAACCGUCUUCGGACAACCACUGACAACUUG
Molecule: unclassified non-coding RNA, 521 nt
Filed under: Sebacinaceae sp. 4 CG-2012
Lineage: Eukaryota; Fungi; Basidiomycota; Agaricomycetes; Sebacinales; Sebacinaceae
Description: sequence contains ITS1, 5.8S rRNA gene, ITS2
Rfam family: 5.8S ribosomal RNA (bases 161-314)
Source: RNAcentral